GAGUCGGUAGUGCAAUCGGUAGUGCAUACGCUCCCAGAUAGAGUGAGAUCUGGGUCCGAAUCCCGGCUGACGCA
This is a non-coding RNA of Parelaphostrongylus tenuis, 74 nucleotides long. Lineage: Eukaryota; Metazoa; Nematoda; Chromadorea; Rhabditida; Metastrongylidae. The record is from the annotation of a GenBank genome assembly.